CCUACGGGGGGCAGCAGUGGGGAAUUUUGGACAAUGGGCGAAAGCCUGAUCCAGCAAUGCCGCGUGCAGGACGAAGGCCUUCGGGUUGUAAACUGCUUUUGUACGGAACGAAAAAGCUCUUUCUAAUAAAGAGAGCUCAUGACGGUACCGUAAGAAUAAGCACCGGCUAACUACGUGCCAGCAGCCGCGGUAAUACGUAGGGUGCAAGCGUUAAUCGGAAUUACUGGGCGUAAAGCGUGCGCAGGCGGUUAUAUAAGACAGAUGUGAAAUCCCCGGGCUCAACCUGGGACCUGCAUUUGUGACUGUAUAGCUAGAGUACGGUAGAGGGGGAUGGAAUUCCGCGUGUAGCAGUGAAAUGCGUAGAUAUGCGGAGGAACACCGAUGGCGAAGGCAAUCCCCUGGACCUGUACUGACGCUCAUGCACGAAAGCGUGGGGAGCAAACAGGAUUAGAUACCCCGGUAGUC
RNAcentral lists this ribosomal RNA (465 nucleotides) under uncultured bacterium. RNAcentral's name for it is "bacterial SSU rRNA". It matches the Rfam family "Bacterial small subunit ribosomal RNA", at positions 338 to 795 of the family's 1533-position model. The record is from RNAcentral.